RNAcentral lists this ribosomal RNA (441 nucleotides) under uncultured bacterium. RNAcentral describes it as "partial 16S ribosomal RNA". It matches the Rfam family "Bacterial small subunit ribosomal RNA", at positions 338 to 795 of the family's 1533-position model. The record is from RNAcentral.
CCUACGGGAGGCAGCAGUAGGGAAUUUUGCGCAAUGGGGGAAACCCUGACGCAGCAACGCCGCGUGAUCGAUGACGCCCUUCGGGGUGUAAAGAUCUGUAAGUGGGGACGAAACCUGACGGUACCCACCGAGAAAGCACCGGCUAACUCCGUGCCAGCAGCCGCGGUAAUAAGGGUGGUGCAAGCGUUGUCCGGAAUCAUUGGGCGUAAAGUGUUCGUAGGUGGCACGUUGAGUCUGGUGUUAAAGGCGUGAGCUCAACGUCCGUAGGGCACUGGAUACUGGCGAGCUUGAAUGCGGUAGAGGUAAAGGGAAUGCCUGGUGUAGCGGUGAAAUGCGUAGAUAUCAGGAGGAACAUCGGUGGCGUAAGCGCUUUACUGGGCCGUAAUUGACACUGAGGAACGAAAGCCGGGGUAGCAAAUGGGAUUAGAUACCCCGGUAGUC